This 351-nucleotide unclassified non-coding RNA is filed under the name soil metagenome. RNAcentral's name for it is "partial contains 5.8S ribosomal RNA, internal transcribed spacer 2, and large subunit ribosomal RNA". The stretch from base 6 to 121 matches the Rfam family "5.8S ribosomal RNA", at positions 39 to 154 of the family's 154-position model. The record is from RNAcentral.
GAUGAAAGAACGCAGCGAACUGCGAUAAGUAAUGUGAAUUGCAGAAUUCAGUGAAUCAUCGAGUCUUUGAACGCACAUUGCGCCCCCUGGCAUUCCGGGGGGCAUGCCUGUCCGAGUGUCAUUGCUGCCCUUCAAGCCCGGCUUGUGUGUUGGGUCGUCGUCCCCCCCGGGGGACGGGCCCGAAAGGCAGCGGCGGCACCGCGUCCGGUCCUCGAGCGUAUGGGGCUUUGUCACCCGCUCGAUUAGGGCCGGCCGGGCGCCAGCCGGCGUCUCCAACCUUCUAUUUUACCAGGUUGACCUCGGAUCAGGUAGGGAUACCCGCUGAACUUAAGCAUAUCAAUAAGCGGAGGA